UGCCUGUACCAUAACCGACACAGGUGGGUAAGUAGAGUAUACUAAGGGGCGCGAGAUAACUCUCUCUAAGGAACUCGGCAAAAUAACUCCGUAACUUCGGGAGAAGGAGUGCCUUAUUCUUAAGGUUGCAAUAACAAGAUCCAAGCAACUGUUUAUCAAAAACACAGGUCUCCGCUAAGUCGUAAGACGAUGUAUGGGGGCUGACGCCUGCCCAGUGCCAGAAGGUUAAAGAAGUCGGUUAGCAAUAGCAAAGCUGGUAACUGAAGCCCUGGUGAACGGCGGCCGUAACUAUAACGGUCCUAAGGUAGCGAAAUUCCUUGUCGGGUAAGUUCCGACCCGCACGAAAGGCGUAAUGAUUUGGAUGCUGUCUCGGAGAGGGGCUCGGUGAAAUAGACUUGUCUGUGAAGAUGCGGACUACCUGCACCAGGACAGAAAGACCCUAUGAAGCUUUACUGUAACUUGAAAUUGAAAUUGGACUUUAUUCGCGCAGUAUAGGUGGGAGGCGUUGAUUAUAAUCUUGUGGGAUUAUUGGAGCCAUCAGUGAGAUACCACUCUUGUAAUGUUAGAUUUCUAACUUUGAAUCAUUAUCUGGUCAAAGGACAGUUUCAGGCGGGCAGUUUGACUGGGGCGGUCGCCUCCUAAACGGUAACGGAGGCGUACAAAGGUUUCCUCUGAACGGUUAGAAAUCGUAUCUAGAGUGUAAAGGCAUAAGGAAGCUUGACUGUGAGACCUACAAGUCGAGCAGGGACGAAAGUCGGUCUUAGUGAUCUGACGGUACUGAGUGGAAAGGCCGUCACUCAACGGAUAAAAGUUACUCUAGGAUAACAGGCUGAUCUCCCCCAAGAGUUCACAUCGACGGGGAGGUUUGGCACCUCGAUGUCGGCUCAUCGCAUCCUGGGGCGGUAGUACGUCCCAAGGGUUGGGCUGUUCGCCCAUGAAAGCGGUACGCGAGCUGGGUUCAGAACGUCGUGAGACAGUUCGGUCCAUAUCCGGUGUAGGCGCUAGAAUAUUGAGAGGAGCCUUCUUUAGUACGAGAGGACCGAGAAGGACAUACCUCUGGUGUACCAGUUAUCGUGCCAACGGUAAACGCUGGGUAGCUAUGUAUGGAGUGGAUAACCGCUGAAAGCAUCUAAGUGGGAAGCCCACCUCAAGAUAAGUAUUCUCAUCACGUAAGUGAGUAAGGUCACGGUAAGACUAACCGUUUGAUAGGCAUUAAGUGUAAGUACAGUAAUGUAUGUGCUGAGAUGUCCUAAUAGACCGAGGACUU
RNAcentral lists this ribosomal RNA (1267 nucleotides) under metagenome. RNAcentral's name for it is "bacterial LSU rRNA". It matches the Rfam family "Bacterial large subunit ribosomal RNA", at positions 1639 to 2925 of the family's 2925-position model. The record is from RNAcentral.